Molecule: long non-coding RNA, 304 nt
Organism: Mytilus californianus (California mussel)
Lineage: Eukaryota; Metazoa; Mollusca; Bivalvia; Mytilida; Mytilidae
Exons: 3
Source: RefSeq, a predicted model, not a curated record
GCAGAACUUUUCGAAAGUAAUUAAACAUAAAGAUGGCUAAAAGUACAAUAUUGCUCCUUGUGACAGCAAUGGCAUUGAUGGUGCUGGUGUCAAGCUCUCCAUCAGCAUUGCCCGAAAUAACUGCUGAAACCAAGAAAAUAAACAAAAUUCGUUUGUUCCGACGUCAAGUCGGGUGUUGCUGUCCUAGAUGUACCUUUGGGUGUACUUGCUGCUGUACUAUGCAAUAGAUUUUGUUCAAAUGAACUAAAAUCUAAUUUUUCGAACGAAGUGAUAUUAUUAUAUUUGUAUAAAUGAUAUACACAUA